AUUGAACGCUGGCGGCAUGCCUUACACAUGCAAGUCGAACGGCAGCACGGGGGCAACCCUGGUGGCGAGUGGCGAACGGGUGAGUAAUACAUCGGAAUGUACCCAGUAGUGGGGGAUAACUAGUCGAAAGAUUAGCUAAUACCGCAUACGCACUAUGGUGGAAAGCGGGGGAUCGCAAGACCUCGCGCUAUUGGAGCAGCCGAUGUCCGAUUAGGUAGUUGGUGGGGUAAAAGCCUACCAAGCCUGCGAUCGGUAGCUGGUCUGAGAGGAUGAUCAGCCACACUGGGACUGAGACACGGCCCAGACUCCUACGGGAGGCAGCAGUGGGGAAUAUUGGACAAUGGGCGCAAGCCUGAUCCAGCCAUGCCGCGUGAGUGAAGAAGGCCCUCGGGUUGUAAAGCUCUUUUGUCCGGAAAGAAAGCGCCGGGUUAAUACCCUGGUGUCCUGACGGUACCGGAAGAAUAAGCACCGGCUAACUUCGUGCCAGCAGCCGCGGU
This 497-nucleotide ribosomal RNA is filed under the name uncultured bacterium. Its description in RNAcentral is "bacterial SSU rRNA". It matches the Rfam family "Bacterial small subunit ribosomal RNA", at positions 30 to 521 of the family's 1533-position model. The record is from RNAcentral.